This 322-nucleotide ribosomal RNA is filed under the name uncultured eukaryote. RNAcentral's name for it is "partial 18S ribosomal RNA". It matches the Rfam family "Eukaryotic small subunit ribosomal RNA", at positions 1470 to 1796 of the family's 1831-position model. The record is from RNAcentral.
CCCUUAGAUGUUCUGGGCCGCACGCGUGCUACACUGAGUAAAUCAAUGGGUAAGGGAACACGAAAGUGCAACCUAAUCUUCAAAUUUGCUCGUGAUGGGGAUCGACGGUUGCAAUUUUCCGUCGUGAACGAGGAAUACCUUGUAGGCGCGUGUCAUCAUCACGCGCCGAAUACGUCCCUGCCCUUUGUACACACCGCCCGUCGCUCCUACCGAUUGAGUGAUCCGGUGAGGCUCUGGGACCUGGACGGAAAGAGCGUUUCGCUUGUUCUGUUUGGGAAACUUGGUCGAACCUUAUCAUUUAGAGGAGGGAGAAGUCGUAACA